Molecule: ribosomal RNA, 486 nt
Filed under: uncultured Acidobacteriota bacterium
Lineage: Bacteria; Pseudomonadati; Acidobacteriota
Description: bacterial SSU rRNA
Rfam family: Bacterial small subunit ribosomal RNA
Source: RNAcentral
GAGGAGCCUGCGGCGGAUUAGCUAGUUGGUAGGGUAACGGCUUACCAAGGCGACGAUCCGUAACCGGCCUGAGAGGGCGGUCGGUCACACUGACACUGACAUACGGGUCAGACUCCUACGGGAGGCAGCAGUCGGGAAUUUUGGGCAAUGGGCGAAAGCCUGACCCAGCAACGCCGCGUGAAGGAUGAAAUCCCUCGGGAUGUAAACUUCGCAAGAAUGGGAAGAAUGAGCGAGCGCUAAUACCGUUCGUGAUGACGGUACCAUUUGUAAGCUCCGGCUAACUCCGUGCCAGCAGCCGCGGUAAUACGGGGGGAGCAAGCGUUGUUCGGAUUUACUGGGCGUAAAGGGCGCGUAGGCGGCCACUGCAAGUCGGUUGUGAAAUCUCCGGGCUUAACCCGGAAAGGUCAACCGAUACCGCAGGGCUAGAGUGCGGAAGGGGCAACUGGAAUUCUCGGUGUAGCGGUGAAAUGCGUAGAUAUCGAGAGG